Molecule: transfer RNA, 72 nt
Filed under: Marinobacter lutaoensis
Lineage: Bacteria; Pseudomonadati; Pseudomonadota; Gammaproteobacteria; Pseudomonadales; Marinobacteraceae
Also listed under: 1 other name
Rfam family: tRNA
About the family: Transfer RNA (tRNA) molecules are approximately 80 nucleotides in length.
Source: Rfam by way of RNAcentral
UGGGGUGUCGCCAAGUGGUAAGGCAACGGGUUUUGAUCCCGUCAUGCGUAGGUUCGAAUCCUACCACCCCAG